This is a long non-coding RNA of Melanotaenia boesemani (Boeseman's rainbowfish), 194 nucleotides long. RefSeq lists it as uncharacterized. The record is from RefSeq and is a predicted model, not a curated record. Lineage: Eukaryota; Metazoa; Chordata; Actinopteri; Atheriniformes; Melanotaeniidae. The transcript has 3 exons.
ACAUCUUUUCUAUGGAAGGUUUCUGGUCUGGUUUCUGUGAAGCUCUGGGACUUCAGUGUUUGAGGGGUGUGAAGGUUUCUGGUCUGGUUUCUGUGAAGCUCUGGGACUUCAGUGUUUGAGGGGUGUGAAGGUUUCUGGUCUGGUUUCUGUGAAGCUCUGGGACUUCAGUGUUUGAGGGGUGUGAAGGUUUCUGG